AGUGAACGCUGGCGGUAGGCCUAACACAUGCAAGUCGAACGGCAGCACAGUAAGAGCUUGCUCUUACGGGUGGCGAGUGGCGGACGGGUGAGGAAUACAUCGGAAUCUACUUUUUCGUGGGGGAUAACGUAGGGAAACUUACGCUAAUACCGCAUACGACCUACGGGUGAAAGCAGGGGAUCUUCGGACCUUGCGCGAUUGAAUGAGCCGAUGUCGGAUUAGCUAGUUGGCGGGGUAAAGGCCCACCAAGGCGACGAUCCGUAGCUGGUCUGAGAGGAUGAUCGGCCACACUGGAACGGAGACACGGUCCAGACUCCUACGGGAGGCAGCAGUGGGGAAUAUUGGACAAUGGGCGCAAGCCUGAUCCAGCCAUACCGCGUGGGUGAAGAAGGCCUUCGGGUUGUAAAGCCCUUUUGUUGGGAAAGAAAAGCAGCAGGUUAAGACCCCGCUGUUCUGACGGUACCCAAAGAAUAAGCACCGGCUAACUUCGUG
This 492-nucleotide ribosomal RNA is filed under the name uncultured bacterium. Its description in RNAcentral is "partial 16S ribosomal RNA". It matches the Rfam family "Bacterial small subunit ribosomal RNA", at positions 29 to 507 of the family's 1533-position model. The record is from RNAcentral.